GUGGGGAAUAUUGGACAAUGGGCGAAAGCCUGAUCCAGCAAUGCCGCGUGAGUGAUGAAGGCCUUAGGGUUGUAAAGCUCUUUUACCAGGGAUGAUAAUGACAGUACCUGGAGAAUAAGCUCCGGCUAACUCCGUGCCAGCAGCCGCGGUAAUACGGAGGGAGCUAGCGUUGUUCGGAAUUACUGGGCGUAAAGCGCACGUAGGCGGCGAUUCAAGUCAGAGGUGAAAGCCCGGGGCUCAACCCCGGAACUGCCUUUGAAACUAGAUUGCUAGAAUCCUGGAGAGGUUAGUGGAAUUCCGAGUGUAGAGGUGAAAUUCGUAGAUAUUCGGAAGAACACCAGUGGCGAAGGCGACUAACUGGACAGGUAUUGACGCUGAGGUGCGAAAGCGUGGGGAGCAAACAGGAUUAGAAACCCUGGUAGUCC
This 425-nucleotide ribosomal RNA is filed under the name uncultured bacterium. RNAcentral's name for it is "bacterial SSU rRNA". It matches the Rfam family "Bacterial small subunit ribosomal RNA", at positions 354 to 796 of the family's 1533-position model. The record is from RNAcentral.